UACGGGGGGGGCAAGCGUUGUUCGGAAUUACUGGGCGUAAAGGGCUCGUAGGUGGCCAACUAAGUCGGACGUGAAAUCCCUCAGCUUAACUGGGGAACUGCGUCCGAUACUGGAUGGCUUGAGUUUGGGAGAGGGAUGCGGAAUUCCAGGUGUAGCGGUGAAAUGCGUAGAUAUCUGGAGGAACACCGGUGGCGAAGGCGGCAUCCUGGACCAACACUGACACUAAGGAGCGAAAGCCAGGGGAGCAAACGGG
Molecule: ribosomal RNA, 253 nt
Filed under: uncultured bacterium
Lineage: Bacteria
Description: partial 16S ribosomal RNA
Rfam family: Bacterial small subunit ribosomal RNA
Source: RNAcentral